UGUUCGGCCUCACCAAGGAAAAGAGGAAAGAAAGAAAGAACAAAACCCUAGUUAGAAAAUUCAAGGGAAAAUUGUGGAAUUUCAAGGAAUCAAGUGACAAAAGGUGGUGAAACUUUCGAUAAGGGUAAGGAGAUUGUACUCGAAGACCAAGACUAGGAGUACUUCGACUCUUGAUAUUGAUAGUCUAUAGAUAGCUAAUUUCGUCGAGGGCUACAGUUGGAUUUGCAUCCUCAAAAAUUGGGAGGUGAGAAAACUGAUAUUAAAGCUUUGCGGGG
Molecule: small RNA, 275 nt
Filed under: Theobroma cacao (cacao)
Lineage: Eukaryota; Viridiplantae; Streptophyta; Magnoliopsida; Malvales; Malvaceae
Description: sRNA Tc07v2_g014630
Source: RNAcentral